UACGUAGGUGGCAAGCGUUGUCCGGAUUUACUGGGCGUAAAGAGCGCGCAGGCGGUCGUUCAAGUCGCGUGUGAAAGCCCCCGGCUCAACUGGGGAGGGUCACGCGAUACUGAUCGACUCGAAGGCAGGAGAGGGAAGUGGAAUUCCCGGUGUAGUGGUGAAAUGCGUAGAUAUCGGGAGGAACACCAGUGGCGAAGGCGCCACUCUGGGCCGGUACUGACGCUGAGGAGCGAAAGCGUGGGGAGCGAACAGG
RNAcentral lists this ribosomal RNA (253 nucleotides) under uncultured bacterium. RNAcentral describes it as "partial 16S ribosomal RNA". It matches the Rfam family "Bacterial small subunit ribosomal RNA", at positions 524 to 776 of the family's 1533-position model. The record is from RNAcentral.